UUGUCGGGUAAGUUCCGACCUGCACGAAUGGUGUAACCAUGGCCACGCUGUCUCCACCCGAGACUCAGUGAAAUUGAAAUCGCAGUGAAGAUGCUGUGUACCCGCACCUAGACGGAAAGACCCCGUGAACCUUUACUACAGCUUGGCACUGAACAUUGAACCUACAUGUGUAGGAUAGGUGGGAGGCUUUGAAGCACAGUCGCUAGAUUGUGUGGAGCCGUCCUUGAAAUACCACCCUUGUAUGUUUGAUGUUCUAACAUUGGUCCCUAAUCGGGAUUGUGGACAGUGUCUGGUGGGUAGUUUGACUGGGGCGGUCUCCUCCCAAAUAGUAACGGAGGAGCACGAAGGUUAGCUAAUCACGGUCGGACAUCGUGAGGUUAGUGCAAUGGCAUAAGCUAGCUUAACUGCGAGACAGACACGUCGAGCAGGUACGAAAGUAGGUCAUAGUGAUCCGGUGGUUCUGUAUGGAAGGGCCAUCGCUCAACGGAUAAAAGGUACUCCGGGGAUAACAGGCUGAUCUCCCCCAAGAGCUCACAUCG
RNAcentral lists this ribosomal RNA (539 nucleotides) under Gymnodinium catenatum. RNAcentral's name for it is "partial Bacterial large subunit ribosomal RNA". It matches the Rfam family "Bacterial large subunit ribosomal RNA", at positions 1969 to 2507 of the family's 2925-position model. Lineage: Eukaryota; Dinophyceae; Gymnodiniales; Gymnodiniaceae. The record is from RNAcentral.